RNAcentral lists this ribosomal RNA (492 nucleotides) under uncultured bacterium. RNAcentral's name for it is "partial 16S ribosomal RNA". It matches the Rfam family "Bacterial small subunit ribosomal RNA", at positions 29 to 507 of the family's 1533-position model. The record is from RNAcentral.
AGUGAACGCUGGCGGUAGACCUAACACAUGCAAGUCGAACGGCAGCACAGUAAGAGCUUGCUCUUACGGGUGGCGAGUGGCGGACGGGUGAGGAAUACAUCGGAAUCUACUUUUUCGUGGGGGAUAACGUAGGGAAACUUACGCUAAUACCGCAUACGACCUACGGGUGAAAGCAGGGGAUCUUCGGACCUUGCGCGAUUGAAUGAGCCGAUGUCGGAUUAGCUAGUUGGCGGGGUAAAGGCCCACCAAGGCGACGAUCCGUAGCUGGUCUGAGAGGAUGAUUAGCUACACUAGAACAUAGGCACGAUCCAGUCUCCUACGGUAGGCAGCAAUGGGAAAUAGUGGACAAUUGGCGCAAGCCUGAUGCAGCCAUACCGCGUAGGUGAAGAAGGCCUUCGGGUUGUAAAUCCCUUUUGUUGGGAAAGAAAAGCAGCAGGUUAAUACCCCGCUGUUCUGACGGUACCCAAAGAAUAAGGACCGGCUAACUUCGUG